Caenorhabditis elegans is the source of this 21-nucleotide non-coding RNA. The record is from Ensembl. NCBI's taxonomy places the organism in Eukaryota, Metazoa, Nematoda, Chromadorea, Rhabditida, Rhabditidae.
UUUUUUACCUGACGUUCUCCA